CGAACGGGUGAGUAACACGUGGGUAAUCUGCCCUGCACUCUGGGAUAAGCCUGGGAAACUAGGUCUAAUACCGGAUAUGACAUUUCACCGCAUGGUGGGGUGUGGAAAGUUCUGGCGGUGCAGGAUGAACCCGCGGCCUAUCAGCUUGUUGGUGGGGUAGUGGCCUACCAAGGCGACGACGGGUAGCCGGCCUGAGAGGGCGACCGGCCACACUGGGACUGAGACACGGCCCAG
RNAcentral lists this ribosomal RNA (234 nucleotides) under uncultured bacterium. RNAcentral's name for it is "partial 16S ribosomal RNA". It matches the Rfam family "Bacterial small subunit ribosomal RNA", at positions 99 to 334 of the family's 1533-position model. The record is from RNAcentral.